GAGUUUUCUCCUGGCUCAGAUUGAACGCUGGCGGCAGGCCUAACACAUGCAAGUCGAACGGUAACAGAACUAGCUUGCUAGUUGCUGACGAGUGGCGGACGGGUGAGUAAUACUUAGGGAUCUGCCUCUGUGUGGGGGAUAACUAUUGGAAACGAUAGCUAAUACCGCAUAACGUCUACGGACCAAAGAGGGCUUCGGCUCUCGCGCAGAGAGGAACCUAAGCGAGAUUAGCUUGUUGGUGAGGUAAAGGCUCACCAAGGCGACGAUCUCUAGCUGUUCUGAGAGGAAGAUCAGCCACACUGGAACUGAGACACGGUCCAGACUCCUACGGGAGGCAGCAGUGGGGAAUAUUGCACAAUGGGCGGCAACCCUGAUGCAGCCAUGCCGCGUGUGAAGGUUAGUAGUUAAUACCUGCUAGCUGUGACGUUAACAACAGAAGAAGCACCGGCUAACUCCGUGCCAGCAGCCGCGGUAAUACGGAGGGUGCGAGCGUUAAUCGGAAUUACUGGGCGUAAAGCGCACGCAGGCGGUCUGUUAAGCUAGAUGUGAAAGCCCCGCGCUCAACGUGGGAGGGUCAUUUAGAACUGGCAGACUAGAGUCUUGGAGAGGGGAGUGGAGGAACAUCAAUGGCGAAGGCAACUCCCUGGCCAAGGACUGACGUCCAUGUGCGAAAGUGUGGUUAGCGAACAGAAUUAGAUACCCUGUAGGUUCACACCGUAAACGCUGUCUACUAGCUGUUUGUGGAUUUAAUCCGUGAGUAGCGAAGCUAACGCGAUAAGUAGACCGCCUGGGGAGUACGGCCGCAAGGUUAAAACUCAAAUGAAUUGACGGGGGCCCGCACAAGCGGUGGAGCAUGUGGUUUAAUUCGAUGCAACGCGAAGAACCUUACCUACUCUUGACAUACUAGAAACUUUUCAGAGAUGAAUUGGUGCCUUCGGGAAUCUAGAUACAGGUGCUGCAUGGCUGUCGUCAGCUCGUGUCGUGAGAUGUUGGGUUAAGUCCCGCAACGAGCGCAACCCUUGUCCUUAGUUACCAGCAUUAAGUUGGGUACUUUAAGGAGACCGCCGGUGACAAACCGGAGGAAGGUGGGGACGACGUCAAGUCAUCAUGGCCCUUACGAGUAGGGCUACACACGUGCUACAAUGGCGAGUACAAAGGGAUGCAAACUGGUGACAGUAAGCGGACCCCUUAAAGCUCGUCGUAGUCCGGAUUGGAGUCUGCAACUCGACUCCAUGAAGUCGGAAUCGCUAGUAAUCGUAGGUCAGCAUACUACGGUGAAUACGUUCCCGGGCCUUGUACGCACCGCCCGUCACACCAUGGGAGUGGGAUGCAAAAGAAGUAGGUAGCUUAACCUUCGGGAUGGCGCUUACCACUUUGUGUUUCAUGACUGGGGUGAAGUCGUAACAAGGUAGCCGU
Molecule: ribosomal RNA, 1416 nt
Filed under: uncultured Cellulophaga sp.
Lineage: Bacteria; Pseudomonadati; Bacteroidota; Flavobacteriia; Flavobacteriales; Flavobacteriaceae
Description: bacterial SSU rRNA
Rfam family: Bacterial small subunit ribosomal RNA
Source: RNAcentral